This 823-nucleotide ribosomal RNA is filed under the name Passer domesticus (house sparrow). Its description in RNAcentral is "partial 16S ribosomal RNA". The stretch from base 199 to 823 matches the Rfam family "Bacterial large subunit ribosomal RNA", at positions 568 to 1241 of the family's 2925-position model. The record is from RNAcentral. Lineage: Eukaryota; Metazoa; Chordata; Aves; Passeriformes; Passeridae.
CUUACACCUGAAAGAUAUCCGCUAACCACAGAUCGUCUUGAUGCCAGACUCUAGCCCAAUCUACAUGACCUGGAAUAACAAAGCUACUCCAUGCACCCAACUAAAGCAUUCUCUAGUCCUAGUAUAGGCGAUAGAAAAGACACCAUUGGAGCGAUAGAGACCACGUACCGUAAGGGAAAGAUGAAAUAGUAAUGAAAAAAGCCAAGCUAUAAACAGCAAAGAUCAGCCCUUGUACCUUUUGCAUCAUGGUCUAGCAAGAAAAACCAAGCAAAAUGAAUUUAAGUUUGCCACCCCGAAACCCAAGCGAGCUACUUAUGAGCAGCUAUUGUUGAGCGAACCCGUCUCUGUGGCAAAAGAGUGGGAUGACUUGUUAGUAGCGGUGAAAAGCCAACCGAGCUGGGUGAUAGCUGGUUGCCUGUGAAACGAAUCUAAGUUCACUCUUAAUUCUUCUCCAAGGAAAACCAACAAACCCCAAUGAAGCGAAUUAAGGGCAAUUUAAAGGAGGGACAGCUCCUUUAAAAAAGAAUACAAUCUCUACGAGCGGAUAAGUAUUUUAACCAAAACCCUACUGUGGGCCCUCAAGCAGCCAUCAACAAAGAGUGCGUUAAAGCUCAGUACCCUAAAAAUAUAAGAACCUUACGACUCCCUCCCCAUUAACAGGCCAACCUAUAUCUAAAUAGGAGAAUUAAUGCUAGAAUGAGUAACCAGGGUCCUCCCUCUACGACGCAAGCUUACAUCAGUACAUUAUUAACAAACCACCCAUAUACGACAAAUCAAACAAGCAGAGUAUUAUACAUCUUGUUAACCCGACAGAGGAGCGUCC